Molecule: ribosomal RNA, 253 nt
Filed under: uncultured bacterium
Lineage: Bacteria
Description: partial 16S ribosomal RNA
Rfam family: Bacterial small subunit ribosomal RNA
Source: RNAcentral
UACAGAGGGUGCAAGCGUUGUUCGGAAUUAUUGGGCGUAAAGGGAGUGUAGGCGGUUCGUUAAGUCUUCUGUGAAAUCUCCGGGCUUAACUCGGAGUCUGCAGGGGAAACUGCCGCGCUUGAGUGUGGGAGAGGUGAGUGGAAUUCCUGGUGUAGCAGUGAAAUGCGUAGAUAUCAGGAGGAACACCGAUGGCGAAGGCAGGUCUCUGGGCUGACACUGACGCUCAUGCACGAAAGCGUGGGGAGCAAACAGG